RNAcentral lists this unclassified non-coding RNA (343 nucleotides) under soil metagenome. Its description in RNAcentral is "partial contains 5.8S ribosomal RNA, internal transcribed spacer 2, and large subunit ribosomal RNA". The stretch from base 1 to 120 matches the Rfam family "5.8S ribosomal RNA", at positions 35 to 154 of the family's 154-position model. The record is from RNAcentral.
GAUGAAGAACGUAGCGAAAUGCGAUACUUGGUGUGAAUUGCAGAAUUCAGUGAAUCAUCGAAUCUUUGAACGCACAUUGCGCCCGCUAGUAUUCUGGCGGGCAUGCCUGUCCGAGCGUCAUUUCAACCCUCAAGCCCCCGGGCUUGGUGUUGGGGAUCGGCGAGCCUCCGCGCCCGCCGUCCCCUAAAUCUAGUGGCGGUCUCGCUGUAGCUUCCUCUGCGUAGUAGCACACCUCGCACUGGGAAACAGCGCGGCCACGCCGUUAAACCCCCAACUUCUGAACGUUUGACCUCGGAUCAGGUAGGAAUACCCGCUGAACUUAAGCAUAUCAAUAAGCGGAGGA